This 549-nucleotide ribosomal RNA is filed under the name uncultured bacterium. RNAcentral's name for it is "bacterial SSU rRNA". It matches the Rfam family "Bacterial small subunit ribosomal RNA", at positions 355 to 896 of the family's 1533-position model. The record is from RNAcentral.
UGGGGAAUUUUGGACAAUGGGCGCAAGCCUGAUCCAGCCAUGCCGCGUGUCUGAAGAAGGCCUUCGGGUUGUAAAGGACUUUUGUCAGGGAAGAAAAGGAUAGGGUUAAUACCCCUGUCUGAUGACGGUACCUGAAGAAUAAGCACCGGCUAACUACGUGCCAGCAGCCGCGGUAAUACGUAGGGUGCGAGCGUUAAUCGGAAUUACUGGGCGUAAAGCGGGCGCAGACGGUUACUUAAGCAGGAUGUGAAAUCCCCGGGCUCAACCUGGGAACUGCGUUCUGAACUGGGUGACUAGAGUGUGUCAGAGGGAGGUAGAAUUCCACGUGUAGCAGUGAAAUGCGUAGAGAUGUGGAGGAAUACCGAUGGCGAAGGCAGCCUCCUGGGAUAACACUGACGUUCAUGCCCGAAGGCGUGGGUAGCAAACAGGAUUAGAUACCCUGGUAGUCCACGCCCUAAACGAUGUCGAUUAGCUGUUGGGCAGCUUGACUGCUUAGUAGCGAAGCUAACGCGUGAAAUCGACCGCCUGGGGAGUACGGUCGCAAGAUUA